Molecule: transfer RNA, 76 nt
Filed under: Holosporales bacterium
Lineage: Bacteria; Pseudomonadati; Pseudomonadota; Alphaproteobacteria; Holosporales
Description: tRNA-Asp
Rfam family: tRNA (bases 7-65)
About the family: Transfer RNA (tRNA) molecules are approximately 80 nucleotides in length. Their secondary structure includes four short double-helical elements and three loops (D, anti-codon, and T loops).
Source: RNAcentral
ACGANNUAGCUCAGUUGGUUAGAGCGCCGGCCUGUCACGCCGGAGGUCGCGAGUUCAAGUCUCGUCACUCCCGCCA